CAGCAGCCGCGGUAAUACGAAGGGUGCAAGCGUUAAUCGGAAUUACUGGGCGUAAAGCGUGCGUAGGCGGUGAGUUAAGUCUGCUGUGAAAUCCCCGGGCUCAACCUGGGAAUGGCAGUGGAUACUGGCUCGCUAGAGUGUGUCAGAGGAUGGUGGGAUUCCCGGUGUAGCGGUGAAAUGCGUAGAGAUCGGGAGGAACAUCAGUGGCGAAGGCGGCCAUCUGGGACAACACUGACGCUGAGGCACGAAAGCGUGGGGAGCAAACAGGAUUAGAUACCCGAGUAGUCCCUGUCUCUUAUAC
RNAcentral lists this ribosomal RNA (301 nucleotides) under uncultured bacterium. Its description in RNAcentral is "partial 16S ribosomal RNA". It matches the Rfam family "Bacterial small subunit ribosomal RNA", at positions 509 to 807 of the family's 1533-position model. The record is from RNAcentral.